Long non-coding RNA from Numida meleagris (helmeted guineafowl), 506 nucleotides. RefSeq lists it as uncharacterized. The transcript is spliced from 3 exons. Lineage: Eukaryota; Metazoa; Chordata; Aves; Galliformes; Numididae. The record is from RefSeq and is a predicted model, not a curated record.
GGGAACCAACCCCCAGCUGAAAGCAUCUCCCCUGCACAGAAAUGGCCCUGCCCAGAGCUUUGGCUGCAGACGUGCUUUCUUUUGUAGCUGUUUCUGUUCUGUUCAGGACAAAGUGAGAGUCCUCCAUCAGCCAUUCAAAGUAACAACAACAAUAAUAGCAGUAACAAUAAUCCCACCCUGAACUGUCUUCUACUUAAAAAUCUCCAGUGCCAGAGAUGCGAAUGGGCAGAUCCCAGGGUUAGACCAGAGCCUGUUACCCUUGAGAGUGAGUGGUUGAAGGAAACAAAAUGGGGCCAAUCUGUAUAGAGUACCUGGAGACAGAGUACUUUGUGCUUCAUCAAGGCCCUUAGAAGGGUUCCUCAAUAACCACGAGAAUUUUGCUUCAUGGACGACUAGAGAAGUCAUGACGUAGCCUAUCUACAACAGAACACAGCACGUGUUUGUCUCUUAAUAAAAUGGCACAGAUCACUGUCCACAAAGAGCCAUUAAAGCUGCUUUACACAUGC